CUGCGGCAGCGACACUAUGUGUUGUUGGGUAGGGGAGCGUUCUGUAAGCCUGUGAAGGUGGCCUGUGAGGGUUGCUGGAGGUAUCAGAAGUGCGAAUGCUGACAUAAGUAACGAUAAAGCGGGUGAAAAGCCCGCUCGCCGGAAGACCAAGGGUUCCUGUCCAACGUUAAUCGGGGCAGGGUGAGUCGACCCCUAAGGCGAGGCCGAAAGGCGUAGUCGAUGGGAAACAGGUUAAUAUUCCUGUACUUGGUGUUACUGCGAAGGGGGGACGGAGAAGGCUAUGUUGGCCGGGCGACGGUUGUCCCGGUUUAAGCGUGUAGGCUGGUUUUCCAGGCAAAUCCGGAAAACCAAGGCUGAGGCGUGAUGACGAGGCACUACGGUGCUGAAGCGACAAAUGCCCUGCUUCCAGGAAAAGCCUCUAAGCAUCAGGUAACAUCAAAUCGUACCCCAAACCGACACAGGUGGUCAGGUAGAGAAUACCAAGGCGCUUGAGAGAACUCGGGUGAAGGAACUAGGCAAAAUGGUGCCGUAACUUCGGGAGAAGGCACGCUGAUAUGUAGGUGAAGCGACUUGCUCGUGGAGCUGAAAUCAGUCGAAGAUACCAGCUGGCUGCAACUGUUUAUUAAAAACACAGCACUGUGCAAACACGAAAGUGGACGUAUACGGUGUGACGCCUGCCCGGUGCCGGAAGGUUAAUUGAUGGGGUUAGCGGUAACGCGAAGCUCUUGAUCGAAGCCCCGGUAAACGGCGGCCGUAACUAUAACGGUCCUAAGGUAGCGAAAUUCCUUGUCGGGUAAGUUCCGACCUGCACGAAUGGCGUAAUGAUGGCCAGGCUGUCUCCACCCGAGACUCAGUGAAAUUGAACUCGCUGUGAAGAUGCAGUGUACCCGCGGCAAGACGGAAAGACCCCGUGAACCUUUACUAUAGCUUGACACUGAACAUUGAGCCUUGAUGUGUAGGAUAGGUGGGAGGCUUUGAAGUGUGGACGCCAGUCUGCAUGGAGCCGACCUUGAAAUACCACCCUUUAAUGUUUGAUGUUCUAACGUUGGCCCGUAAUCCGGGUUGCGGACAGUGUCUGGUGGGUAGUUUGACUGGGGCGGUCUCCUCCUAAAGAGUAACGGAGGAGCACGAAGGUUGGCUAAUCCUGGUCGGACAUCAGGAGGUUAGUGCAAUGGCAUAAGCCAGCUUGACUGCGAGCGUGACGGCGCGAGCAGGUGCGAAAGCAGGUCAUAGUGAUCCGGUGGUUCUGAAUGGAAGGGCCAUCGCUCAACGGAUAAAAGGUACUCCGGGGAUAACAGGCUGAUACCGCCCAAGAGUUCAUAUCGACGGCGGUGUUUGGCACCUCGAUGUCGGCUCAUCACAUCCUGGGGCUGAAGUAGGUCCCAAGGGUAUGGCUGUUCGCCAUUUAAAGUGGUACGCGAGCUGGGUUUAGAACGUCGUGAGACAGUUCGGUCCCUAUCUGCCGUGGGCGCUGGAGAACUGAGGGGGGCUGCUCCUAGUACGAGAGGACCGGAGUGGACGCAUCACUGGUGUUCGGGUUGUCAUGCCAAUGGCACUGCCCGGUAGCUAAAUGCGGAAGAGAUAAGUGCUGAAAGCAUCUAAGCACGAAACUUGCCCCGAGAUG
This 1624-nucleotide ribosomal RNA is filed under the name Escherichia coli. Its description in RNAcentral is "partial 23S ribosomal RNA". It matches the Rfam family "Bacterial large subunit ribosomal RNA", at positions 1200 to 2806 of the family's 2925-position model. The record is from RNAcentral. Lineage: Bacteria; Pseudomonadati; Pseudomonadota; Gammaproteobacteria; Enterobacterales; Enterobacteriaceae.